AAAACAAGAAUUCAAAUAAACUAAAGUGAAAAAUUGCAUGCUUUGAUCUGCAUUCUGACUCCAGCAGUUCUUUCUCUUUAGAUGAAUAACAUUCUUUGACAUACACUCUUCAGAAUUGUUCUGGAUCAUUGCAUUGCUGAGAGGUUUUUGUUCUCAUCAUCCAGUUUUGAAGAGGAUCAAUAACAUCACCAGAGUCAUUGAAGUCCAGAAGCAAAACAAAUGUCAGG
This 227-nucleotide long non-coding RNA is filed under the name Monodelphis domestica (gray short-tailed opossum). RNAcentral describes it as "lncRNA (ENSMODG00000036959.1)". The record is from RNAcentral. Lineage: Eukaryota; Metazoa; Chordata; Mammalia; Didelphimorphia; Didelphidae.